GUCCUGCUAAGUGUUUACUCCAGCCAGGCAGGCUCUCCUCCUCUCUCAACAAGCCUGGACUCAGAGCAGUCCUUCACUCCCGAUCACAUCUGUCAGCCAGACACAUCCUGACUCUGACUUCGCUCCACUGCUAACUGCUGCUCAAGCUGCUCCAUCACAGGACAUCCCCAAGGAGUUCCCUGACCCACCUCUAGCCUCUCCAUUACUUCACGCGGCAGAGGCAGUCUUGGUGGUGGUGGCAGGGUAGAGCGGAAGUAACCGAGGUGAUGACCCGGAAGCGACAGUGCUGCCUCUGACAGUGGUUCUAGAAGUUUCGGUGUUCGUGAUGGGGAUGGAGUAAGGUCUACUAUGUUCCCCUCCUGGACCUCUGGAGGCCAUCCCCUGCCACCUGAAGCACGUAUCAUCUGACCCAGAAACGGCGGAGGCCCCCCCCGAGAGAAAGUGGGACGAGGCCAGGCUUGCGAGACAGAGGAUGCAGUGCUGGAAUCCCAGCUGUUAGAAAACAAACUUGGGUCUGAACCUCACCAAAGAAUGGGAAUCAUAAUUCUUCUUGGCAGGAUCAUUGUAAGCUUCCAGUGGCUCAAGGCGUUCCCUGGCUUGGAGCUCCAACCUCAGCGCCUGUCUUCAUGUGGCUCUUCUUCACAUGGCCUUCUCCCCUGGGUUUCUCUUCAGAGAAGAGAUCUGAAUGUUCGACGAGUGCUGAAGUUUCGGUGUUGGCAUGGCUGGUGCUGGCCGUGGUGCUGUGGUCUCGUUGGAGAUGAACCGUGACAUCAGAGCGCAUCCCUGCCCUGUCUGUCUGGACCCAGAGAUGUCACCGUUCCUGGUUCUUUGUUACCGCUUAAUUGGUGUUGAUUGGAAACUUUUCCUGAAAUGGGGCAGAGCUGCUUCAGUUGUCUUUUCCAUGUAACUUAAGCAUAGCAGUAUAAAUAAAAUAAUA
Zalophus californianus (California sea lion) is the source of this 937-nucleotide long non-coding RNA. RefSeq lists it as uncharacterized. Lineage: Eukaryota; Metazoa; Chordata; Mammalia; Carnivora; Otariidae. The transcript is spliced from 4 exons. The record is from RefSeq and is a predicted model, not a curated record.